AAUCGACAUUUCUAAACAACCAAUUCUUACACGAACUCCUUUUCGCACAUAUUUUUUUAAUAAUUCUAAACAAAAUCGUCGCUUUCCGUAAACUUUAAAAAUUUUUUCACUUAUACGUGUGGGGAGGGGGGAAGGGAGCUUCAGAAGUCGACGUGCAGCGGAGGAAUUGCUUGGAACUGGACCUAGUGAUUUCUUUGGCUGGAAGUUUGAUUUACGACCCCUCGCCGAAUCAGUCGCACCAGAUAACUCUAAAAUGGUGACGCCACAAGAAAAGUCUUUUUGUGUGCUGCAGUUUGAGAAAUGCAAAUCGAUUGUGCAAGUGCAAUGUGAAUUUCACUGCCAAUUCAAUGAAAAUCCACCUCGCCACAAGCAAAUUUACGAAUGGCAUAAAAAUUUCACAGAAAAAGCACUGGUGCUCGUGGUGCUCACGGGACUGGAUGCUUUGGAGGGAGCUGGCCAGGCAGAAGACUACACCAGGCUUCACUGUCAGUUUUGGCAGGGUUUUUACAGCUGGAUGCCCUUCCUAUCACCAACCAUCUUACAGAGUGGACUAAGUGCUUCCUACGUGGCACCAACUGGCAUUUGACUGCAGCCAUGCUGGAGCACCACCUUUAGUCAAACAAAUCGACCCCAGGACUCAUUCUUUGAACACAUAUCUCUGGAUUUAAUGAACUUAGAACAAGACUUCAGGGAAAUUUGACUGCAGUUUCUGAAAGAUCAUAGAUCCUGCCUUGGGAAGACCCUGCAAGUGAGAGGAGGUAAUAAAAGAGACUAUCUGGAGCAGAAUUAAUUAAAUAAUUAAUUGAUUAAUUUUAAAACUGUUUAUUUUUAUAGUUGGUUUCCCUGAUUUAUUUAUUGGAACCAAUGUUUGUCUUUUACAGCUGAAUAAAUCUCCUUCCAACCAUGAAAUUGUUGUUGAUGCUUAGCCCCCAGUCAGCUCUGAUCAAAUAGAUCUAUAAUUAAAGGCACUUCCAAAGUUGGUCAUCCUAUCUUAUUUUCAGACAAUUUCUUCACAAUUUUAUUAUCUACUACCUCCUUUUUUUUCUCCUCAAGACAUCAUGGGUCUUUUUCUGUGUUCUUUUUUACUUUGUUUCUUUCCUGUUAUAUUCCAAUGAAAUUCUAU
Molecule: RNA transcript, 1123 nt
Organism: Octopus bimaculoides (California two-spot octopus)
Lineage: Eukaryota; Metazoa; Mollusca; Cephalopoda; Octopoda; Octopodidae
Source: RefSeq, a predicted model, not a curated record